Molecule: unclassified non-coding RNA, 423 nt
Filed under: fungal sp.
Lineage: Eukaryota; Fungi
Description: partial internal transcribed spacer region
Source: RNAcentral
AAGUCGUAACAAGGUUUCCGCUUUGGCAAAGCUCCUGCCCGAGUGUACGGUCUACAGGAAUCGUAGAAGCGCUAUCCUUGCACAAUCAAUGACACUUUCCGACACUGACUGCUUGGAGAAACAUUGCCUAUAGAACUACCGCUCGAUUGUAACUGUUCCAAUGUUCGCACGUAGCCAGAGGUCUCUGAAUCACUACAACUUUCCGGGCUAUGAUUUAUCAGAGAUUGCGAACUACGCGGGUUACAAGAGCAGGAUGAAGGUUCACGGGGGGGGUUUUAACGUUUGGAUACGUGUUAAUGAUCCUUCCGCAGGUUCACCUAGGUCCCCAUGCCCCCUAAUAACCCCACAGUUUAAUGUGAAGCUCAAUGUAAUACAUUGGGUAAAAAAACCGAACAACUGUUAACAAUGGAUAUCUUGGUUCUC